AUAAAGGAUGGUACAAACACAGUCUUUACUUUUCCAUUCUUUGUCAUGUAGGAUUUAUGUAUCUCAAUUGCUAGGAUUCAGAGAACUCAAGAAUUCACCUAUAUGUGUUCAUACAGGGCUAAUAUAGGGCUAAUCUUCCUCCUUUAGGAAACUAAAUAUGGUGGUGAGACUUCUAAAGAAAAGUGUGCUCUUUCUCCCUCCCCCUGAUUCCAGGGAGUUCUCAUUGUUUGGUGUAAGGUCUUGGUUGUUAUGGUGACUGUAGUGGGCUGAAUUUGAAGUGAAUUAGAGAAAAUAUUUCACAGAUGAAGAGAAGUCUUGGCCUAUGCAUCAUUCAGUGAGAAGUGUAAAGUUUCCAAAGACCUAAAAACUAUGGUCAAAUAAGUACAAAAUCUCCCAACAAAAAGAGAAGUAAAGAAUACCGAGGCGGUAUCUACCAUUGUGUUUACCUGAAAGAUCUACACUGAGCUAUCUCGAGGUUGCAGUGGUAGUGACGUGUGUGAGGUUGGCUGAGUUAUGGCUCAUGGAAUCUGUUUUGUGGAAUUCACUCUUCUCACAGUAGGAAGAAGGCUUGAAGAGGAUUGGAAAAGAGGAACAGUGCCAUGUAAGUGGUCUCUCCUGUACGAGUUAGCAUUUCCCAACAGAAAUUCUAUGAAACCUCCCACUAACAUAAGUGGAUAAGUGUGAAUGGGGAAGAUGAUUUUAGUGUUGCCUAAAUAAUAUGUUUUCAUAAAUACAGAAACUACUUUUUAGAUAUAUCUUACUCUCCAAGCUCAAACUAGCUGAAUGCCUAUUAUUUGAAUAUCUAUUCUUCCAUCCUACCCUUUGCAAAAAAACCAAAAAUAUUAUGUUUAUAUUGAGCUUCAUGGAAAGAUUUCCACAUUAGUGGACACACGUGUCAGAUGACUUUAACUUGGAAAGCAAGACGAAA
RNAcentral lists this long non-coding RNA (928 nucleotides) under Macaca mulatta (Rhesus monkey). RNAcentral's name for it is "lncRNA (ENSMMUG00000065321.1)". The record is from RNAcentral. Lineage: Eukaryota; Metazoa; Chordata; Mammalia; Primates; Cercopithecidae.